Molecule: long non-coding RNA, 2237 nt
Organism: Podarcis muralis (Common wall lizard)
Lineage: Eukaryota; Metazoa; Chordata; Lepidosauria; Squamata; Lacertidae
Source: Ensembl
GGGGCCAUCGCCCCCUACGCUCAGCCCCUUAGCCCUGCCUGGCGGGGAGCGGGCAACCCCAUCAUGGACGGCUCGGAUCGGGGUCCGCUGACGGGUUUGGGUGGAGGGGGUGGGGAGCAAGGGCAGAAGGCGCAGCUGGUUUCCCCCCGUGCGCGGAGCUUCACGGGCGCAUCAUCCCAGCGGCCAGGCGUUGGAGUCGGGCGGGGGUUGGGGUCUGGGCACCUGGGCUUAAACCAGGCCUUCGAGGGAGCCUCGCAGCAGCCCAGCCGCUGCGAAAGGGGCGGGUAGCAUCAACUCCAGCUGGGAGGCGAGUUUGGCGCAUCUCCGGUCAAAGCGCAGCCAAGGAGCAGCGCGCCUGAGCGCUGGCGAAACACUGCCAGGCGCCUCUCGGAGGGAGCGCGGCGCAUCCAGGCGGGGAUCGGAAGCGCGGCCAGAUCCGGGAGGCAGCCGCUGGAGGAGGAUGCGCUCAGGCUUUCAAGGAGAGGAUCUAUUACUGAGAGGGCUCUCCUCUCUCUGCCACAGCGUCUGUCGGCCGCCCAGGCUGAGAUCCCGGGUGAUCGUUGCAGCUGAUGGAGGAAAGAAGGGAAGCCAGUCCCACCCCGGUCUGCUGGAGCUUUGUGCGCAGCAGAAGAAGCAACAAACGAGUCCUGAGCCGGCAACUCUUCCCAAGCCACCUCGGGUCGCAGAUGCUGCCGCGCGCGGUGUUGCUUUUCCGCCGCUCCUCGCUCGGAUUUUGCGCGCUCCUUAGCUGUCCAGCAGCAGCGCCCACCUCGCGCGGACGGCAACCAGAUACAGUGGUACCUCAGGUUACAUACGCUUCAGGUUACAUACGCUUCAGGUUACAGACUCUGCUAGCCCAGAAAUAGUACUUCGGGUUAAGAACUUUGCUUCAGGAUGAGAACGGAAAUUGUGCAACAGUAGCUCAGCGGCAGCAGGAAGCCCCAUUAGCUAAAGUGGUGCUUCAGGUUAAGAACAAUUUCAGGUUAAGAACGGACCUCCGGAACAAAUUAAGUUCUUAACCCGAGGUACCACUGUACAAAGACAGGGAGAGAUUCUUUACUAUCAACAGUUGCUUGGGAAAGGGGAUUUUUCUGCUCUCUCCAAUAACCAUCAAGUUAAGUGGGUAGGUGGGAAAUAAAACUAGCAAGAAAGAAGAAGGGUGAGUAGGAGCUCCUGAACAAAUUGUCCCAUGAAUAUCUGACAGCAGACUAACUGCUUUCUACAUGGGUGCUGUAACUAUGAAGCUAACUGUUAAUCAAAGCUGUAGAAUUUUAUACAACUGACUGUAAUCCACUAACUAAGAGCCAUUAUUUGCUUUGUCCCAACUUCCAACUAGGAAGCCACACUUUCAAAAGGUCAUAGAAGCACAUGAACAGGAGCAAAGGAGGGCAAAGAAAAUAGGCAGCAAGGUUGCGGGGGGGGGAGGCUUAAGAGAGGCUGAAAGAACUGGAGAAGACUGAAGAGGGGACACCCAUGAUAACAGAUUUCACAUACCCAAAGGGCUCUCACGAAGGGAGAGAGCAAACACUUGUUCUCUGAUGGUCCAGAAGGCAAGACGAGGUCUCAUGAGCUGAAGCUACAGGAGGGUGGAUUUUGAUUGAAAUGUUCUGAAAAACACAUUAAGGGUAAGAGCCAUUUGAAAAUAGAAUCAAUUACUUUGGAGGUGAUGGGAUCUCCCAUCUUGGAGAACUCUAGACAGAGGCUGGACCACCAUCUUUGGGGAAUUGUUCUAGCUCUGGAUUUACUGCAUCAAGCAAGGAGCUAGACCAGGUGGCCUAGAAGAUUCAGAGAAACGCAUUCUAGGAUUCUUUGAUCUUGCUUCCUGGCAGGAAUCCUGUGCCUUUAAACUGUUGUGCAACAGGUACAUGAAAGUUAACUGUGAAAGCUUUUCCAUCUUGGCACAGCUGUUAAAGUCACAGGAACCACGCUGGAAAAGAUGCAAGGUGAAAAGCAAAAUGAGUGCAAAAAGUCACCUUUAUAGUGAUAAAAGUCCCAAGGUGAUACUGCACUCACUCACUCACAGAUUUCACUUGUUCCAGCACAACACCCACGUUCCUUGGAUAUUCUAACACACUGUGUGGCACACACCUUCCUCCUAACCUCUGCAAGUGUUUCUCAAUGCUUAUCAGUGUGGAGAUCCUCUAUUAAUGUGUCCCCCAGCAACGUUUUGCAUAAAUUGAUGUAGAUCCAGCAGAAUUAUACAUCUGAGGGCACCUAUUUCCACACACAGAUCACCG